RNAcentral lists this non-coding RNA (22 nucleotides) under Rattus norvegicus (Norway rat). Lineage: Eukaryota; Metazoa; Chordata; Mammalia; Rodentia; Muridae. The record is from RNAcentral.
CUUGCCAAAGACACUUAGAAAG